UACGGGGGGAGCAAGCGUUGUUCGGAUUUACUGGGCGUAAAGGGCGCGUAGGCGGCGUGACAAGUCACUUGUGAAAUCUCCGGGCUUAACUCGGAACGGUCAAGUGAUACUGUCGUGCUAGAGUACAGAAGGGGCAACUGGAAUUCUCGGUGUAGCGGUGAAAUGCGUAGAUAUCGAGAGGAACACCUGCGGCGAAGGCGGGUUGCUGGGCUGAUACUGACGCUGGAGGCGCGAAAGCUAGGGGAGCGAACGGG
Molecule: ribosomal RNA, 254 nt
Filed under: uncultured bacterium
Lineage: Bacteria
Description: partial 16S ribosomal RNA
Rfam family: Bacterial small subunit ribosomal RNA
Source: RNAcentral